RNAcentral lists this ribosomal RNA (513 nucleotides) under uncultured bacterium. Its description in RNAcentral is "partial 16S ribosomal RNA". It matches the Rfam family "Bacterial small subunit ribosomal RNA", at positions 28 to 507 of the family's 1533-position model. The record is from RNAcentral.
GACGAACGCUGGCGGCGUGCUUAACACAUGCAAGUCGAACGAAAAGAGGGAAAGAGCUUGCUCUUUCCGGAAUUGAGUGGCAAACGGGUGAGUAACACGUAAACAACCUGCCUUCAGGAUGGGGACUACAGACGGAAACGACUGCUAAUACCGAAUAAGUUCCAAGGGCCGCAUGGCCCAUGGAAGAAAAGGUGGCCUCUACCUGUAAGCUAUCGCCUGAAGAGGGGUUUGCGUCUGAUUAGCUGGUUGGAGGGGUAACGGCCCACCAAGGCGACGAUCAGUAGCCGGUCUGAGAGGAUGAACGGCCACACUGGAACUGAGACACGGUCCAGACUCCUACGGGAGGCAGCAGUGGGGAAUCUUCCGCAAUGGGCGAAAGCCUGACGGAGCAACGCCGCGUGAGUGAUGACGGCCUUCGGGUUGUAAAACUCUGUGAUCCGGGACGAAAAGGCAGAGUGCGAAGAACAAACUGCAUUGACGGUACCGGAAAAGCAAGCCACGGCUAACUACGUG